This 572-nucleotide unclassified non-coding RNA is filed under the name Pocillopora damicornis (cauliflower coral). RNAcentral describes it as "uncharacterized LOC113686968, transcript variant X1". Lineage: Eukaryota; Metazoa; Cnidaria; Anthozoa; Scleractinia; Pocilloporidae. The record is from RNAcentral.
CCCGUAUUUGUAUUGAUAUUUCUUAUAGUUAAAAUGAUCACUUCUCGUGAAGCCAAAGGUAUUCAGACAUACUUUGAGCAAUGUAGUAGAGGCUUUGAUGUUUUGCCAGGCUUUGAUUUCUAAAAGGCGAGAUGAUUAUCAGAGGCUUUGUUUUGUUACUAUUCGUUGCAUUAAUAUCGUCUCUGGUCAAGGAACAUGGAAGAAGCGAUGGGAGUAAACACGAAUUCGAAGACUCAGCUUUCUCAAGCAAGACCAUACCAAGGGAGAUUCACCACUGGAUCAGAUUUGACGGAGAUUGGUAUAACUGUCACUUGGAACGUAGUAUUGAUUCGCAUGGUGUGUUCUGUAGCUGCCCGUUUCUGGCAUGCACGGGAUACCCGCACUGCUUCGGCUUAAAGCAUUGUAAAAUAUCCAAGAGAUACGAUUAUUUAAACAUCAAGAAGGAAGAGUGUAAAUGCCGCAGAUUUUACUAAACGCGUGAAACAUGGAGAAAACUGUUGAAAACAGAAAGACCAAUAUGAAAUAAGUGCAAAACUUUGGAAGAAAUUGUUUAAUAAAAUAAUAAAAUAACA